This 1190-nucleotide ribosomal RNA is filed under the name Haptophyta environmental samples. RNAcentral describes it as "SSU rRNA". It matches the Rfam family "Eukaryotic small subunit ribosomal RNA", at positions 427 to 1644 of the family's 1831-position model. The record is from RNAcentral. Lineage: Eukaryota; Haptophyta.
AGCAGGCGCGUAAAUUGCCCGAAUCCUGACACAGGGAGGUAGUGACAAGAAAUAACAAUACAGGGCUACAUCUAGUCUUGUAAUUGGAAUGAGUACAAUUUACAUCUCUUAACGAGGAUCAAUUGGAGGGCAAGUCUGGUGCCAGCAGCCGCGGUAAUUCCAGCUCCAAUAGCGUAUAUUAAAGUUGUUGCAGUUAGAACGCUCGUAGUCGGAUUUCGGGGCGGGCCGACCGGUCUGCCGAUGGGUACGCACUGGUCGGCGCGUCCUUCCUUCCGGAGACCGUGCCUACUCUUAACUGAGCGGGGGCGGGAGACGGAAUUUUUACUUUGAAAAAAUCAGAGUGUUUCAAGCAGGCAGCUCGCUCUUGCAUGGAUUAGCAUGGGAUAAUGAAAUAGGACUUUGGUGCUAUUUUGUUGGUUUUGAACACCGAAGUAAUGAUGAGAAGGGACAGUCAGGGGCACUCGUAUUCCGCCGAGAGAGGUGAAAUUCUCAGACCAGCGGAAGACGAACCACUGCGAAAGCAUUUGCCAGGGAUGUUUUCACUGAUCAAGAACGAAAGUUAGGGGAUCGAAGACGAUCAGAUACCGUCGUAGUCUUAACCAUAAACCAUGCCGACUAGGGAUUGGAGGAUGUUCUAUCUUGACUCCUUCAGCACCUUACGGGAAACUAAAGUCUUUGGGUUCCGGGGGGAGUAUGGUCGCAAGGCUGAAACUUAAAGGAAUUGACGGAAGGGCACCACCAGGUGUGGAGCCUGCGGCUUAAUUUGACUCAACACGGGGAAACUUACCAGGUCCAGACAUUGUGAGGAUUGACCGAUUGAGAGCUCUUUCUUGAUUCGAUGGGUGGUGGUGCAUGGCCGUUCUUAGUUGGUGGAGUGAUUUGUCUGGUUAAUUCCGUUAACGGACGAGACCUUAGCCUGCUAAAUAGUGACGCGAACACUUCGUUCGUGGACCACUUCUUAGAGGGACAACUUGUCUUCAACAAGUGGAAGUUUGAGGCAAUAACUGGUCUGUGAUGCCCUUAGAUGUUCUGGGCCGCACGCGCGCUACACUGAUGCACCCAACGAGUCUCCACCUUGACCGAAAGGUCCGGGAAACCUUCGAACUUGCAUCGUGAUGGGGAUAGAUUAUUGCAACUAUUAAUCUUCAACGAGGAAUACCUAGUAGGCGCAUGUCAUCAGCGCGCGUUGA